This 72-nucleotide transfer RNA is filed under the name Bos taurus (domestic cattle). It matches the Rfam family "tRNA". From Rfam's summary of the family: Transfer RNA (tRNA) molecules are approximately 80 nucleotides in length. Lineage: Eukaryota; Metazoa; Chordata; Mammalia; Artiodactyla; Bovidae. The record is from Rfam by way of RNAcentral. RNAcentral also lists the same sequence under 4 other names.
UCCCUGGUGGCUUAGUGGUAAAGAAUCUGCCUGCCAAUGCAGGAGACUCAGGUUCAAUUCCUGGGUAGGGAA